RNAcentral lists this ribosomal RNA (497 nucleotides) under uncultured bacterium. RNAcentral's name for it is "partial 16S ribosomal RNA". It matches the Rfam family "Bacterial small subunit ribosomal RNA", at positions 28 to 507 of the family's 1533-position model. The record is from RNAcentral.
GACGAACGCUGGCGGCGUGCCUAAUACAUGCAAGUUGAGCGAUGAAGAUUGGUGCUUGCACCAAUUUGAAGAGCAGCGAACGGGUGAGUAACGCGUGGGGAAUCUGCCUUUGAGCGGGGGACAACAUUUGGAAACGAAUGCUAAUACCGCAUAACAACUUUAAACAUAAGUUUUAAGUUUGAAAGAUGCAAUUGCAUCACUCAAAGAUGAUCCCGCGUUGUAUUAGCUAGUUGGUGAGGUAAAGGCUCACCAAGGCGAUGAUACAUAGCCGACCUGAGAGGGUGAUCGGCCACAUUGGGACUGAGACACGGCCCAAACUCCUACGGGAGGCAGCAGUAGGGAAUCUUCGGCAAUGGACGUAAGUCUGACCGAGCAACGCCGCGUGAGUGAAGAAGGUUUUCGGAUCGUAAAACUCUGUUGGUAGAGAAGAACGUUGGUGAGAGUGGAAAGCUCAUCAAGUGACGGUAACUACCCAGAAAGGGACGGCUAACUACGUG